Molecule: non-coding RNA, 923 nt
Organism: Procambarus clarkii (red swamp crayfish)
Lineage: Eukaryota; Metazoa; Arthropoda; Malacostraca; Decapoda; Cambaridae
Source: RefSeq, a predicted model, not a curated record
AACAUCUGGGGUUCUGGUAAAGAAACCACUGUGUUUGUGCCCUCUUUAGCAUUUGAUAAAAUUGGUGGUAGUCUGGACAUUUUUAUCCAAUUCUCUUCCUGUUGCUAAAAAAUCUCCCUGGUAUAUUGAGCUCUGGCCGUUUUCAUAAUGGUUUUCUUUUGUUCGUGAUUCUUCACGUGAAUUCACAUGAUUCUUGUAUGAAAAGCUGGUCAGUCUCUGUUGAAAACCUUUCUUAUUUAAUGAGCUCUUAUAAAGUUUGGGUGGAAAAAUGUGCAACUUUUAGAACAUUUAUUUGUACUAAGAAAAUUUCUACACUUUCUGGGGUGAUUGUAUUUGCAAGUUCCAUUUGUUCUUGCCAUAUUUACAUGUGCCCCAUUCGUAAUAUUGACAGGUUUUGGGUUCUUGAUUUCUUUUGGCCCAGCUCUGGCAUUGAGCCCAACUUAUGUUGGGCUCAAUGCCCAACAUUUCUCAAUGCUCAACAUUUCUACUUGGAUAUCAGGUUGGUGAUGUAUGAUAAAACUGGAAGGAUAAUUGAGAGAAGUAAAUUAGAGGAAAGGGGUUAUUCCCAGUACAGUAUUAUUGAUAGAAAGGGUGACACACAUGAAGAGCUAUAAGGGGAAUAUAAUAAACAGGAAGAUUUUUCCGUUAUGGUUUAUCUUGAAACAUGUUGUAGAGUAACAAGUUGUUAGCUAUAAAAAUAUUAAUAAAAUAAAACUAAUGCAAUGUCCAAUUGCAGUUUGGUCGAUGGACUGCCCUACUUGUGGGUGUUAUUUAUGGAAGGAGCCACUAUAAUUCACUAAGUGCGAGGGAAACUCUGCUACGUGAAGAAGAGGCUAAGCAUGCUGUUGUCAGAAAUGCACAGCUUGCUGAAGAAAAGGCAAAAUUUAAUAGAGAUGAAAUGAUCUACUUGGCGGAGCAGGCAG